GACAGAGGGUGCAAACGUUGUUCGGAAUUACUGGGCGUAAAGCGUGUGUAGGCGGCCUUGUAAGUCGGAUGUGAAAGCCCCGGGCUUAACCCGGGAAGUGCACUCGAAACUGCGAGGCUAGAGUAUCGGAGAGGUUGGUGGAAUUCUCGGUGUAGAGGUGAAAUUCGUAGAUAUCGAGAGGAACACCGGUGGCGAAGGCGGCCAACUGGACGAAUACUGACGCUGAGACACGAAAGCGUGGGGAGCAAACAGG
Molecule: ribosomal RNA, 253 nt
Filed under: uncultured bacterium
Lineage: Bacteria
Description: partial 16S ribosomal RNA
Rfam family: Bacterial small subunit ribosomal RNA
Source: RNAcentral